Molecule: long non-coding RNA, 175 nt
Organism: Etheostoma spectabile (orangethroat darter)
Lineage: Eukaryota; Metazoa; Chordata; Actinopteri; Perciformes; Percidae
Exons: 3
Source: RefSeq, a predicted model, not a curated record
CAGAAUAUUUUUGACCAAAUACCACAAUAUUGAUAUUGCGGCGAUAUUGUAGAGUUGUAAAUUGGUGCUUUAACAAAAUAUUUACAUAAUGAGAUUUUUGAAAAAGUAUCAGCAGUAAAGUGGAUAUAAUGGCUAAGUGGGUAAAGCUAAAUAAUAAAACAGUUACAACAGUAGA